GACGAACGCUGGCGGCGUGCUUAACACAUGCAAGUCGAACGGAAAGGCCCUGCUUUUGUGGGGUGCUCGAGUGGCGAACGGGUGAGUAACACGUGAGUAACCUGCCCUUGACUUUGGGAUAACUUCAGGAAACUGGGGCUAAUACCGGAUAGGAGCUCCUGCUGCAUGGUGGGGGUUGGAAAGUUUCGGCGGUUGGGGAUGUACUCGCGGCUUAUCAGCUUGUGGGUGGGGUAGUGGCUUACCAAGGCUUUGACGGGUAGCCGGCCUGAGAGGGUGACCGGCCACAUUGGGACAGAGAUACGGCCGAGACUCCUACGGGAGACAGCAGUGGGAAAUAUUGAAAAAUGGACGGAAGACUGAUGCAGCAACGCAGCGUGUGGGAUGACGGCCUUCGGGUUGUCAACAGCUUUAGCCUGUGACGAAGCGUGAGUGACGGUAAUGGGUAAAGAAGCACCGGCUAACUACGUG
This 468-nucleotide ribosomal RNA is filed under the name uncultured bacterium. Its description in RNAcentral is "partial 16S ribosomal RNA". It matches the Rfam family "Bacterial small subunit ribosomal RNA", at positions 28 to 507 of the family's 1533-position model. The record is from RNAcentral.